UAAGAUUGAUCCUGUCUUUAGUUUAAUUUGCUUUUAGAUUGUAUUAAAUAUAAGUUUUUGCGUGGAAUUAUUUUGUCUAAAUGAUAAAUUUUAGUUUUUAUUUGUAGUUUUUAGUUUUGGAUAUCACAUAAUUGUGGAUUCAGUUAAUUUAUUUAGAAUUGUUUAAGGUUGUGCCAGCAUACGCGGUUAUACAUCCAAUUCAAGUUAAUUUUUUUGGUUUUUAUUUAUUUUUUUAUUUUGGGGAUUAAGUUUUUGUUAUAAGGUGAAAUUUUUAAUUUUAAUUAUUUUCUCUUGGUUAAAUAAUAUAAGAAAUUUAGAAUAUAAACUAGGAUUAGAUACCCUAUUAUUCUACAUGUAAAUUUAAAACCAUAGUAUUAAUAGUUAUGAUCUUUAAAUUAAAAGGAUUUGGCGGUAAUUUAGUCUUCUCAGAGGAACCUGUUCUGUAAUUGAUAAUCCACGUUGGAUUUAACUUUAAUUUUUAGUUUGUAUAUCUCUGUCAUUGAAUGUUCUAUUAGGAUAUUUUCUUUAAUUAUUAAUUUAAUUAAUGUCAGGUCAAGGUGCAGCUAUAUUAAAGGUUGAAAUGGGUUACAUUUAAUGUUAAUUUAUUGGAAUAUCUUUGUUGGAUAAUGAUGAUAUGAAAAAGGAUUUGAAGGUAAUUUUUAUUAUUUUAUAAAAAUGAUUUUAGCUCUAAAUUAUGUACACAUCGCCCGUCGUUCUCGUUAUUAAGAUGAGAUAAGUCGUAACAAAGUAAUUUUACCGGAAGGUGAAGUUGGAAUUAU
This 779-nucleotide non-coding RNA is filed under the name Acidomeria sordida. Lineage: Eukaryota; Metazoa; Arthropoda; Insecta; Hemiptera; Coreidae. The record is from RNAcentral.